AGACCCGAAACCCGGUGAUCUAGCCAUGGGCAGGUUGAAGGUUGGGUAACACUAACUGGAGGACCGAACCGACUAAUGUUGAAAAAUUAGCGGAUGACCUGUGGCUGGGGGUGAAAGGCCAAUCAAACCGGGAGAUAGCUGGUUCUCCCCGAAAGCUAUUUAGGUAGCGCCUCGUGAAUUCAUCUCCGGGGGUAGAGCACUGUUUCGGCUAGGGGGCCAUCCCGGCUUACCAACCCGAUGCAAACUGCGAAUACCGGAGAAUGUUAUCACGGGAGACACACGGCGGGUGCUAACGUCCGUCGUGAAGAGGGAAACAACCCAGACCGCCAGCUAAGGUCCCAAAGUCAUGGUUAAGUGGGAAACGAUGUGGGAAGGCCCAGACAGCCAGGAUGUUGGCUUAGAAGCAGCCAUCAUUUAAAGAAAGCGUAAUAGCUCACUGGUCGAGUCGGCCUGCGCGGAAGAUGUAACGGGGCUAAACCAUGCACCGAAGCUGCGGCAGCGAACGUAUCACUUAAAGCGAUUCAGCGGGUUACGAUUGACGGAGCGAAGCGACGUCAAAGCGUAUACAAAGUCGAGUCGGUUUAAGGAUACGUUCGUUGGGUAGGGGAGCGUUCUGUAAGCCUGUGAAGGUGUGUCGUGAGGCAUGCUGGAGGUAUCAGAAGUGCGAAUGCUGACAUAAGUAACGAUAAAGCGGGUGAAAAGCCCGCUCGCCGGAAGACCAAGGGUUCCUGUCCAACGUUAAUCGGGGCAGGGUGAGUCGACCCCUAAGGCGAGGCCGAAAGGCGUAGUCGAUGGGAAACGGGUUAAUAUUCCCGUACUUGGUGUUACUGCGAAGGGGGGACGGAGAAGGCUAUGUUGGCCGGGCGACGGUUGUCCCGGUUUAAGCGUGUAGGUGUGUGUUCCAGGUAAAUCCGGUUCACUUUAACACUGAGGCGUGA
RNAcentral lists this ribosomal RNA (938 nucleotides) under Salmonella enterica subsp. enterica serovar Infantis. RNAcentral describes it as "partial 23S ribosomal RNA". It matches the Rfam family "Bacterial large subunit ribosomal RNA", at positions 711 to 1566 of the family's 2925-position model. Lineage: Bacteria; Pseudomonadati; Pseudomonadota; Gammaproteobacteria; Enterobacterales; Enterobacteriaceae. RNAcentral also lists the same sequence under 1 other name. The record is from RNAcentral.